Hylaeus volcanicus is the source of this 718-nucleotide long non-coding RNA. RefSeq lists it as uncharacterized. The transcript is spliced from 3 exons. The record is from RefSeq and is a predicted model, not a curated record. NCBI's taxonomy places the organism in Eukaryota, Metazoa, Arthropoda, Insecta, Hymenoptera, Colletidae.
AAUUGUGGUCUGUGAGGUUCUAGAAGGUUCCAUAAGAAAAAAGGAUGUCUACUGUAUAGGGUGGUGUCCCGCACAAAAUCAAAGUCGACCGAUGUUUGACUCGGGCCACUUUCGUAAUCAGCCACGCAAUUUAGGUGACUAGUACCUAAACCCUCCACUGUGUGUUUUAGAGGAUGUCUUUGAAGGAAGAAAAGGAAUAGGCGGUAACAUACCAGGAGUCCAGGGGUUGUGAAGGUAUCCGAGGAAAAGCGGGUGGCAGAGCGCAGGCUUCGCCAGACCACAAAGGUUUUGAUGGGGAUGACGGUUCGAAAUAUCGACGAUCUAAGGGAGAAGCCAGAGCCGUUUGGCCAGUCCAUAGAUAGGAAGAAACAAUGCCGGGGAAGAAUAAUCGAGAGAGCUGGAAAAAUUAGCGAGAAAUUUGCGUAAAUAUUAAAUUCAGUACACUUAUUCGAAAUGAACCUGAAUCUUCAUUGAAUAUUUUACAUCUAGACAUCUUUAACAAUAUCAAUUUACAAAUUCAAUAAAUUGAUAAAUGAUCAAUUUUGUUCUCUGCUACACACGACAAAAAUGAGAAUGUACACACGUAUUAAGUGCAAGUGAGAUAACGGAACACUUUUACCAAGGAGAGUAGUUGUCUAGUUGACGUUUACUUGUACCCGACGAAACAAUAGCGAAACAUUUUGAAGUGGUUUGAACGUUGCGGCAUUACAUUGUCUCA